This 472-nucleotide long non-coding RNA is filed under the name Anas platyrhynchos platyrhynchos (common mallard). RNAcentral describes it as "lncRNA (ENSAPLG00000017189.1)". The record is from RNAcentral. Lineage: Eukaryota; Metazoa; Chordata; Aves; Anseriformes; Anatidae.
ACUGUUGAAGACCAUAUAAUCUAGUAGAAACUCUCUCUUGUGUACUGUUAGGUAUUUAAAUAAAAAUACAUAGUCUCAUCUAAGGACUUCUGAAAUUUUACUUUCAUCAGAUUCCUCCCCUGCCAUCAGAUGAUGACUGGUAAAUGUAGAGUCCUUUUUCCACAUAAUAAAGAACCGUGGAUUGGUGUCCUUUACAUGCUGCGAAAAGGCCUUGUAGAAGGCAAGAAGCUGCUGGAGGUGAGCCAAUGUAGUAAUCCAGAAGAAUUCAACUGUUAUGCGAAAAAGGUAGACUAAACCAGAGGUAAGCACUGACAAUUGUUAGAAAAGGUGUCCAAGUUAGUUGUAUUUUCAGCAUCAAGAUCAUUCUGCUAAUGCUAUCACCCAGCAGGCAAGAGAGAAAGCAGGCAUGGAUAGUGGACAGGAAUGGGUUGAUUUUUUCCAAGUUUGCUUGUGAAAUACAGGUCAGAAACAG